UGACACGUAAAGCGCGAACUACAUAUAUAAAAGUAAUAAAUUAAGCAUGAAUUAACAUAAAAAGCCAUUGAAAUAAUUUCAUUCAGACUUCGAUUUACAACGAAAACCUAUAAAAAUAAUAGUACAGAUUUGAUAAGAACCUGUGUGAUAAAUUAAAUCGAGUAAAGGAGCAAACCCCGUCAUCGAAAACUCAACUCGGAAACCCCAAACUCUUUUGGUGUUGUCUCGUUUUCUGUUUUCUCCAAUUGUUUUUUCCUUUGUUGUUUUUCAGUGUUCCUCUUUGCUUCUUGUUCUCAAUGUUCUCUCUGUUUGUGUCUCAAUGUACAUAGUUAUUUUUUGUUUGAUUUUUCAAUCUCCUUUUUUUUUUUUUUUUU
This 374-nucleotide long non-coding RNA is filed under the name Capsicum annuum. RNAcentral describes it as "long non-coding RNA (CANN_LNC013490)". The record is from RNAcentral. Lineage: Eukaryota; Viridiplantae; Streptophyta; Magnoliopsida; Solanales; Solanaceae.